RNAcentral lists this ribosomal RNA (468 nucleotides) under uncultured bacterium. RNAcentral's name for it is "partial 16S ribosomal RNA". It matches the Rfam family "Bacterial small subunit ribosomal RNA", at positions 28 to 507 of the family's 1533-position model. The record is from RNAcentral.
GACGAACGCUGGCGGCGUGCUUAACACAUGCAAGUCGAGCGGAAAGGCCCUGCUUUUGUGGGGUGCUCGAGUGGCGAACGGGUGAGUAACAAGUGAGUAACCUGCCCUUGACUUUGGGAUAACUUCAGGAAACUGGGGCUAAUAACGGAUAGGAGCUCCUGCUGCAUGGUGGGGGUUGGAAAGUUUCGGCGGUUGGGGAUGGACUCGCGGCUUAUCAGCUUGUUGGUGGGGUAGUGGCUUACCAAGGCUUUGACGGGUAGCCGGCCUGAGAGGGUGACCGGCCACAUUGGGACUGAGAUACGGCCCAGACUCCUACGGGAGGCAGCAGUGGGGAAUAUUGCACAAUGGGCGGAAGCCUGAUGCAGCAACGCCGCGUGCGGGAUGACGGCCUUCGGGUUGUAAACCGCUUUCGCCUGUGACGAAGCGUGAGUGACGGUAAUGGGUAAAGAAGCACCGGCUAACUACGUG